Molecule: ribosomal RNA, 484 nt
Filed under: uncultured bacterium
Lineage: Bacteria
Description: bacterial SSU rRNA
Rfam family: Bacterial small subunit ribosomal RNA
Source: RNAcentral
AUUGAACGCUGGCGGCAUGCCUUACACAUGCAAGUCGAACGGCAGCACGGGAGCAAUCCUGGUGGCGAGUGGCGAACGGGUGAGUAAUAUAUCGGAACGUGCCCAGUCGUGGGGGAUAACGUAGCGAAAGCUACGCUAAUACCGCAUACGAUCUAUGGAUGAAAGCGGGGGAUCGCAAGACCUCGCGCGAUUGGAGCGGCCGAUAUCAGAUUAGGUAGUUGGUGAGGUAAAGGCUCACCAAGCCGACGAUCUGUAGCUGGUCUGAGAGGACGACCAGCCACACUGGGACUGAGACACGGCCCAGACUCCUACGGGAGGCAGCAGUGAGGAAUAUUGGACAAUGGGCGAAAGCCUGAUCCAGCCAUGCCGCGUGUGUGAAGAAGGUCUUCGGAUUGUAAAGCACUUUAAGUUGGGAGGAAGGGCAGUAAGUUAAUACCUUGCUGUUUUGACGUUACCAACAGAAUAAGCACCGGCUAACUUCGUG